This 752-nucleotide long non-coding RNA is filed under the name Sinocyclocheilus anshuiensis. RNAcentral describes it as "lncRNA (ENSSANG00000038556.1)". Lineage: Eukaryota; Metazoa; Chordata; Actinopteri; Cypriniformes; Cyprinidae. The record is from RNAcentral.
CUUGUUUCCCGGUGAAGAGUUUCAGAGACAAAGACCAAAAAAGCUACUUGUGAAAUGAGCUCAAAAUGACAGUUCUUGUAAAAGUCCUCAGCAUUUUCCUUUGGAUAUUUUCCUUUAAUUUUGUGCGAGGUUAAGUGAAUUCACAAACGCCAACCCUGAGCUUGAUUCCUGUAACAACUCGGAAAAGUACAUUUUUCAUGUGUGUUAUUGAGGAUUUCUACCCCAUGGAUUACUACUUCACUAUACGUUGGAAAGUAAAUGAUACCAUCAGCCAGAUACAGUCAAAACUGGAGUACAAAUUGAAUGAUGAAGGUCUUUAUACAGCACAAAAUCUUUAUAAAGUCAGCAGUGAGACAUGGAAUGCAAAUACGAACUAUACCUGCGAGGUCACACACCAGGGCAAAACAAUUAUUGAGAAGAAGAACUUCAAGUCAUCUAAUGAUGGACUGAAACCCAGUGUUGUCAUUUACACACCUGAUUCUAUUGACACAGACAGAGUCUCUCUGGUGUGUGAGGUCACCAGCCCUAAACUUGGAAAUGUCAAUAUCAUGUGGAAAGUGGGUGAAGAGCCUUACAUAAAGGGCUCAACCAGCACUCCCAUCCAUCAACGGGACUCCACAUCUGUUCUCAGCAUACUAACAAUAUCAAAACAAGAGUAUGAAAAGUACAACACCAUCACCUGCUCAGUCAUACAUGCCAACAUGAAUAACAGAAGAAAUCCAUUACAAGUUUCAACAUCCUAAAGGAAACAG